This 791-nucleotide ribosomal RNA is filed under the name uncultured archaeon. Its description in RNAcentral is "bacterial SSU rRNA". It matches the Rfam family "Archaeal small subunit ribosomal RNA", at positions 85 to 879 of the family's 1478-position model. The record is from RNAcentral.
ACUGCUCAGUAACACGUGGAUAACCUGCCCAAGGGUCUGGGAUAACCCCGGGAAACUGGGGAUAAUACCGGAUGGAUCACUAGUGCUGGAAUGCUUGGUGGUCGAAAGGCAACGCCUUUGGAUGGGUCUGCGGCGGAUUAGGUUGACGCCGGUGUAACGUACCGGCGUGCCUGUAAUCCGUACGGGUUGUGGGAGCAAGAGCCCGGAGAUGGAUUCUGAGACACGAAUCCAGGCCCUACGGGGCGCAGCAGGCGCGAAAACUCUACAAUGCAGGCAACUGCGAUAGGGGGACAUCGAGUGGCAUCCACCUUGGGUGCCUGUCCAACCGUCUAAAAAACGGUUGUUAGCAAGGGCCGGGUAAGACCGGUGCCAGCCGCCGCGGUAAUACCGGCGGCUCGAGUGGUGGCCGAUAUUAUUGAGUCUAAAGGGUCCGUAGCCGGCUUUGCAAGUCCCCUGGGAAAUCCAGCGGCUUAACCGUUGGGCUUUCAUGGGAUACUACAUUGCUUGGGACUGGGAGAGGUAGGAGGUACUCGGGGGGUAGGGGUGAAAUCCUGUAAUCCUCCGGGGACCACCGGUGGCGAAGGCGUCCUACCAGAACAGGUCCGACGGUGAGGGACGAAAGCUAGGGGCACGAACCGGAUUAGAUACCCGGGUAGUCCUAGCCGUAAACGAUGCCCGCUAGGUGUCACGACGGUCGUGAAUCGUCGUGGUGCCGUAGGGAAGCCGCGAAGCGGGCCACUUGGGAAGUACGACCGCAAGGUUGAAACUUAAAGGAAUUGGCGGGGGAGCAC